Molecule: ribosomal RNA, 1533 nt
Filed under: Staphylococcus caprae
Lineage: Bacteria; Bacillati; Bacillota; Bacilli; Caryophanales; Staphylococcaceae
Also listed under: 2 other names
Description: bacterial SSU rRNA
Rfam family: Bacterial small subunit ribosomal RNA
Source: RNAcentral
AGAGUUUGAUCCUGGCUCAGGAUGAACGCUGGCGGCGUGCCUAAUACAUGCAAGUCGAGCGAACAGACGAGGAGCUUGCUCCUUUGACGUUAGCGGCGGACGGGUGAGUAACACGUGGAUAACCUACCUAUAAGACUGGGAUAACUUCGGGAAACCGGAGCUAAUACCGGAUAACAUGUUGAACCGCAUGGUUCAACAGUGAAAGACGGUCUUGCUGUCACUUAUAGAUGGAUCCGCGCCGCAUUAGCUAGUUGGUAAGGUAACGGCUUACCAAGGCAACGAUGCGUAGCCGACCUGAGAGGGUGAUCGGCCACACUGGAACUGAGACACGGUCCAGACUCCUACGGGAGGCAGCAGUAGGGAAUCUUCCGCAAUGGGCGAAAGCCUGACGGAGCAACGCCGCGUGAGUGAAGAAGGUCUUCGGAUCGUAAAACUCUGUUAUUAGGGAAGAACAAAUGUGUAAGUAACUAUGCACGUCUUGACGGUACCUAAUCAGAAAGCCACGGCUAACUACGUGCCAGCAGCCGCGGUAAUACGUAGGUGGCAAGCGUUAUCCGGAAUUAUUGGGCGUAAAGCGCGCGUAGGCGGUUUUUUAAGUCUGAUGUGAAAGCCCACGGCUCAACCGUGGAGGGUCAUUGGAAACUGGAAAACUUGAGUGCAGAAGAGGAAAGUGGAAUUCCAUGUGUAGCGGUGAAAUGCGCAGAGAUAUGGAGGAACACCAGUGGCGAAGGCGACUUUCUGGUCUGUAACUGACGCUGAUGUGCGAAAGCGUGGGGAUCAAACAGGAUUAGAUACCCUGGUAGUCCACGCCGUAAACGAUGAGUGCUAAGUGUUAGGGGGUUUCCGCCCCUUAGUGCUGCAGCUAACGCAUUAAGCACUCCGCCUGGGGAGUACGACCGCAAGGUUGAAACUCAAAGGAAUUGACGGGGACCCGCACAAGCGGUGGAGCAUGUGGUUUAAUUCGAAGCAACGCGAAGAACCUUACCAAAUCUUGACAUCCUCUGAUCCCCUCUAGAGAUAGAGUUUUCCCCUUCGGGGGACAGAGUGACAGGUGGUGCAUGGUUGUCGUCAGCUCGUGUCGUGAGAUGUUGGGUUAAGUCCCGCAACGAGCGCAACCCUUAAGCUUAGUUGCCAUCAUUAAGUUGGGCACUCUAAGUUGACUGCCGGUGACAAACCGGAGGAAGGUGGGGAUGACGUCAAAUCAUCAUGCCCCUUAUGAUUUGGGCUACACACGUGCUACAAUGGACAAUACAAAGGGUAGCGAAAACCGCGAGGUCAAGCAAAUCCCAUAAAGUUGUUCUCAGUUCGGAUUGUAGUCUGCAACUCGACUACAUGAAGCUGGAAUCGCUAGUAAUCGUAGAUCAGCAUGCUACGGUGAAUACGUUCCCGGGUCUUGUACACACCGCCCGUCACACCACGAGAGUUUGUAACACCCGAAGCCGGUGGAGUAACCUUUUGGAGCUAGCCGUCGAAGGUGGGACAAAUGAUUGGGGUGAAGUCGUAACAAGGUAGCCGUAUCGGAAGGUGCGGCUG